Hippopotamus amphibius kiboko is the source of this 566-nucleotide non-coding RNA. The record is from the annotation of a RefSeq genome assembly. Lineage: Eukaryota; Metazoa; Chordata; Mammalia; Artiodactyla; Hippopotamidae.
AUGGGCGCCCGGCUCCUGGGCUGUGUCCUGCUUUGUCUCCUGGGAGCAGGCCCCCUGGAAGCCAACGUGAUCCAGAGCCCGAGAUACCAGAUCACAGAGACCAGGAAGAGGGUGAUAUUGACUUGUUCUCAGCAUUCGAACCAUGAGGCCAUGUACUGGUAUCGACAAGACCCAGGGCUGGGUCCAAAGCUGAUCUACUUUUCAAGGAAUGUUGGACUCACUGAAGAUGGAGAUAUCCCUGAUGGGUACACUGUCUCUCGAACAAAGAAGCCGGAUUUCCCCCUGACCCUGGAGUCGGCCAGCACCAACCAGACCUCCCUGUACCUCUGUGCCAGCAGUUUAUCCACAGCGCGGCAGAGCCAGCUGCUCUCUGCACAAAAAGGGCAGCCGCCAGAGCAGGGAGGCUCCUCCCUUGGGAGGCCCCACCCAACCAAGAGGAAAACUUCCCGCACCAUCAGUGCCCACAGGAGUCCUUCCCUGACUCCCCAGAUGUGGGCACUCUGAGCAAGGCAGCCCCUCUGCAAUGUGCCCUCCUAUUACUUCUGAUGCCCAGGCCAGAGAUGUAG